Small nuclear RNA from Otolemur garnettii (small-eared galago), 152 nucleotides. Lineage: Eukaryota; Metazoa; Chordata; Mammalia; Primates; Galagidae. The record is from Ensembl.
GUGUUAUAUGAAAGAAGAGAAGGUUAAAACUCCCCUUGACAAGGAUGGAAGAGGCACUCGGGCCUGAUAACACACAUACUGUUAAGGCAUUGCCACCUUCUUUGAGUGUAUAAGAUCCCUGAAGAAUAAUGAACUUUGAGCAUCUUUUAUUU